CGACGGCCGAGUGGUAGCCACUCUUAUUGGGCCUAAAGCGUCCGUAGCCGGUCCAGUAAGUCCCUGUUUAAAUCCUGCGGCUUAACCGCAGGACUGGCAGGGAUACUGCUGGACUUGGGACCGGGAGAGGACAAGGGUACUCCAGGGGUAGCGGUGAAAUGUGUUGAUCCUUGGAGGACCACCUAUGGCGAAGGCACUUGUCUGGAACGGGUCCGACGGUGAGGGACGAAAGCCAGGGGCG
RNAcentral lists this ribosomal RNA (241 nucleotides) under Methanococcus sp. enrichment culture clone CIBANICRA-31. RNAcentral's name for it is "partial 16S ribosomal RNA". It matches the Rfam family "Archaeal small subunit ribosomal RNA", at positions 478 to 719 of the family's 1478-position model. Lineage: Archaea; Methanobacteriati; Methanobacteriota; Methanococci; Methanococcales; Methanococcaceae. The record is from RNAcentral.